AUGCCUCCUUCGUCGUCGUUGAAUCGUCAAUCUUCUCAAACACAUUCACAUCCACACACUAACGGACGCCUUCUGAUCUUUCUUCCUCUGAUUUCUCUAUUCAUUUCUCUCUUCUUCUGUCGCAUCUGCUGCAACCGAAACAUAGUCAUUGGUAACAAGCUCAAGCGCAUCUUGAACACCAAAUAA
This is a non-coding RNA of Vicia faba (fava bean), 186 nucleotides long. The record is from the annotation of a GenBank genome assembly. NCBI's taxonomy places the organism in Eukaryota, Viridiplantae, Streptophyta, Magnoliopsida, Fabales, Fabaceae.